GACGAACGCUGGCGGCGUGCUUAACACAUGCAAGUCGAGCGGUAAGGCCCUUUCGGGGGUACACGAGCGGCGAACGGGUGAGUAACACGUGGGUGACCUGCCCUCAGCUCUGGGAUAAGCCUGGGAAACUGGGUCUAAUACUGGAUAUGACUCCACGGUGCAUGUCGUGGGGUGGAAAGCCUUGCGCGGCUGAGGAUGGGCCCGCGGCCUAUCAGCUUGUUGGUGGGGUGANGGCCUACCAAGGCGACGACGGGUAGCCGGCCUGAGAGGGCGACCGGCCACACUGGGACUGAGACACGGCCCAGACUCCUACGGGAGGCAGCAGUGGGGAAUCUUGCGCAAUGGGCGAAAGCCUGACGCAGCGACGCCGCGUGAGGGAUGACGGCCU
RNAcentral lists this ribosomal RNA (388 nucleotides) under uncultured bacterium. RNAcentral describes it as "bacterial SSU rRNA". It matches the Rfam family "Bacterial small subunit ribosomal RNA", at positions 28 to 417 of the family's 1533-position model. The record is from RNAcentral.